GCCCCUGUCCUAAGGGAUGGCUAAGGGUUUAACAUCAAAAUGCUUUUGUCUUGUAGAAAGGUACAUUAACAUGACCUAUGGUCUCAGGAAGGGCUCAAUGUCCUUAAUGCCAGAUUGAAUCAGCUUUAAAUGAGAUCAGCAAUUGUUUCUUUGUUGUACUUGCUGGCCUUUAAGGCAAGACACUCUGAAAGUCAGGACAUAACAUCUGUCCAGAUCUUCUCUCCAUGACUCAUGAAGCAAAGAACCCUGAUUCAUCACACCAUCGACCCUGCAAUCUCUUCUGAAGAAAUUCUUCUACAGAAACCUUUUGAUAAAUUCUAAAUCUGAAA
This is a long non-coding RNA of Sander lucioperca (pikeperch), 329 nucleotides long. RefSeq lists it as uncharacterized. Lineage: Eukaryota; Metazoa; Chordata; Actinopteri; Perciformes; Percidae. The transcript has 2 exons. The record is from RefSeq and is a predicted model, not a curated record.